UGUUGUGGUUAAAAAGCUCGUAGUUGGAUCUCGGCGGACUGAGGGCGGUUUGCUUGCUAGUAUUACUGCCCUAUAGUCCGUAGUUUUGCCAGAGGUUUCGGGGUGCUCUUAAUCGAGUGUCCCGGGAUGCUGGCAGGUUUACUUUGAAAAAAUUAGAGUGCUCAAAGCAGGCUAUUACGCCUGAAUAUUCGUGCAUGGAAUAAUAGAAUAGGAAGUCGUUUCUAUUUUGUUGGUUUUCGGAAAUCGACUUAAUGAUUAAUAGGGACAGUCGGGGGCAUUUGUAUUCAAACGACAGAGGUGAAAUUCUUGGACCGUUUGAAGACAAACUACUGCGAAAGCAUUUGCCAAGAAUGUUUUCAUUAAUCAAGAACGAAAGUUAAAGGUUCGAAGGCGAUUAGAUACCGCCCUAGUUUUAACCAUAAACGAUGCCAGCUAGCGAUCUGCGGACGUUUUUUUUGUAGACUCCGCAGGAAGCUUCCGGGAAACCAAAGCAUUUGGGUUCCAGGGGAAGUAUGGUUGCAAAGCUGAAACUUAAAGGAAUUGACGGAAGGGCACCACCAGGAGUGGAGCCUGUGGCUUAAUUUGACUCAACACGGGAAAUCUCACCAGGCCCGGACACUGGAAGGAUUGA
Molecule: ribosomal RNA, 631 nt
Filed under: uncultured marine eukaryote
Lineage: Eukaryota
Description: SSU rRNA
Rfam family: Eukaryotic small subunit ribosomal RNA
Source: RNAcentral